Molecule: ribosomal RNA, 468 nt
Filed under: uncultured bacterium
Lineage: Bacteria
Description: partial 16S ribosomal RNA
Rfam family: Bacterial small subunit ribosomal RNA
Source: RNAcentral
GACGAACGCUGGCGGCGUGCUUAACACAUGCAAGUCGAACGGAAAGGCCCUGCUUUUGUGGGGUGCUCGAGUGGCGAACGGGUGAGUAACACGUGAGUAACCUGCCCUUGACUUUGGGAUAACUUCAGGAAACUGGGGCUAAUACCGGAUAGGAGCUCCUGCUGCAUGGUGGGGGUUGGAAAGUUUCGGCGGUUGGGGAUGGACUCGCGGCUUAUCAGCUUGUUGGUGGGGUAGUGGCUUACCAAGGCUUUGACGGGUAGCCUGCCUGAGAGGGUGACCGGCCACAUUGGGACUGAGAUACGGACCAGACUCGUACGGGAGGCAGCAGUGGGGAAUAUUGCACAAUGGGCGGAAGCCUGAGGCAGCAACGCCGCGUGCGGGAUGACGGCCUUCGGGUUGUAAACCGCUUUCGCCUGUGACGAAGCGUGAGUGACGGUAAUGGGUAAAGAAGCACCGGCUAACUACGUG